Long non-coding RNA from Acinonyx jubatus (cheetah), 3372 nucleotides. RefSeq lists it as uncharacterized. The record is from RefSeq and is a predicted model, not a curated record. The transcript has 9 exons. Lineage: Eukaryota; Metazoa; Chordata; Mammalia; Carnivora; Felidae.
ACCAUACUUUAUUAUUAGAAAAUACUGGACUCAAAAUGAGAUCCCUUAACUCAAAAAUCUAUUUUCUUUCUACUAACAAGGCUAAAUAAAGAUGUUGGGCUAUACCAAAAAUUUUAAGGCAUUCCUGUAAUUUACCACACCCUCUUUAUUCUCUGUUCCAGCACUUCUGGAGGGUUCUCUGAGCCCAGAAGCCUACAUAUGUUUGGCAAUCCCAGAUGCACAUUCUUCCUGUCACCAGUGGGGCUGUGAACUGGUUGUUCGGGCUGAAAGAAGAAAAGUUAAAACGCACUUUUAGGUUAAAAGAAAUGCUGUUUGAGUGAUGGAAGAUGGAUUGACAAUGCUUCUUUUCAUAUCCAGAUGGUGUCUAUCUCUGGGUCCAUGGCCUGCUUAUUCAAGGGGGAUUGGAGGAGGUGCGUUUCAUUGCAGAGAUGAACUCAAGUUUGAAUGUUGAUCCGAGAAGCUGAACGCUCAGAGGCUCACAGUGGCUUUACUAGGCCAGGAAGUCAGGACCCUGUCGGCAAAGAGAAAUUGAGAAUAAAGAAACCUCCUGAAUAAUUCAGACGGAGAAUUUGUCAGAAGUGAUCUUUGAGUACAGCUAAGAGAAUGGACUGGAGAGCACCACUGCAGACAAGGAGGCCAGGAGUCUGAACUUAGUAUCCCUGGGCUGAAGUCAAGCAUCCAGCACAUGCCUGGCACAAAUGUUUCUUGACAGAGUAAAUGAAUGAAUAGGUUGCUCCACAUCGUGAGAAGCCCACCAAGAACUGGACGAUCUCUCCAGAGGCAUCAGGACCGAAAAAAGCUUGGUGACCUCAAACUGCCAUGAAGAGGCUCAUGUGACUGAAGGCAACCUCCAGCCAAGUGGUGUGGAACUGGAGCCCUCGGCCCAGUAGUCCAUGAGGAACUGAAUCCUCCAGUAACCAUAGAGAGACAGAGCAUGAGCAGGGGAGGGGCAGAGAGAGAGAGAACGAGGCACAGAAUCCAAAGCAGGCUGCAGGCUCUGAGCUGUCAUCACAGAGCCCAACGCGGGGCUCGAACCCACAAGCCGUGAGAUCAUGACCUGAGCCGAAGUCAGACGCUGAACCGACUGAGCCACCCAGUCAUUAGGUAACUGUGGAGGACACUGCUGGCUGAUUCCAUGCUGAUUCUCUUCUUUCUGCACACUUGUCCUUUGUGGUUCGUUGUGGCACAGGACUGUGUUCUUACCAACGUACUGUGAGAGGAAGUGGAUCCCAACUGGUACGUUAAAAUUCCCCACAAUGCCAUGACUUUGAAUUGACCUUGGUAAUGAGAGGUAAAACUCUAAGAGGCUAGGGCUUAACCUCUGAAUCACUGCUUGGAGGAAAGGCCUGGCCAGUCAGGAACACUUGCUCUGGAUUUCCAGUGAGUAAAACAUGGCUUCUAUCACAUUAAAGCCCUGAGAUUUGGGGGGUUAUCUGUUACUUUAACCAUUACAAGUCAGACAAGUCCUAUAACCUCUCUGAAACUUACCUUAAAACUGAGAGGAAAUACUAAUCAAAUGAUUUCCUAUCAUCCUGAACAACCCGGAAUGCUCCUUCCCAGAUAUCUUUCUGUGCCAUUCCUUUACUUCACACAGACUCUGCUCGUGUAUUGCUGCUUGAGAGGGAAGGCCAUGUCCACUAAGCACAUGCGCACUGGCCUGUGGCUGGUGAGCUGUGGCAGCUCCUCCCUCUCUGUGCCCCAGUCCCCACAGAUUGCACGUGCAUCUGGAGGGGCUGCUGAGGAGAAUAAAGAAGAUGUGGGCCUGUGCAUCUCCAGAAGUUUCACAGUGAGACCAUCCCACUUGCCAUCUCUGUCCAGCCCACCCUCCACGCUGCUGCCGAAGCAAUUUUCUUGGAACGCAAACCCAGUUGCGUCAUUUUCCUCUUAGUGCCCUGCCUCUCCCCCUCUGUCCGGUAAAGGCCAGACUCCUUAUCAUGGUUUAUAAAGCCUUCAUGGCCUGGCUCCUCCUACUUUCCAAGUCUAAUCUGCCAUUCUGUCAAAUACAGCUUUGCUUCCAACCAUUCAAAAUUACACAAAACUCUCCCUGAAAGCGUGGUUUCACAUUAACCCAGGCCUCUUUAUGCACUAUCGCUCUUGCCUGGAAUUUCUUCCCCUCUAUUGUCCAUUCAGUGAACAUCUAGGCAUUCUUAAAGACUAGGUUCAAAUAGACCGGCAUUGUGCAUAACUUCUCAAACCCUCAUGCUCACAGGCUGUCUCCACAGCAGGCCUAUCUCACUGUGCACAUGGGCCUCCAUAUAGCAACAGCCACCCUGUGUGUCAUUCGUUGACUUGUCUCUCUCCCAGGCUGGUUGCUCCCUGAGAGUGGCUACCUGAUCAGACUCCUCUGGAAACCCCAGCACACUCUCAGUGCCACUGUUUGCUGAAUAAUAAGUCUGAGUUGCUUAGAAUCGCACAGUGCCGGGUUGAUGCAUAGUGAGUUCAGUAUUGUUUCCGUUCUGUUAUGGCCUGUGUUCCCCAGAGAAGAUAUGUUGAAGUCCUAGCUCCCAGUACUUCAGAAUGUAAUUUUAUUUGGAAAUAAGGCUGUUGCAGAGGUAAUGAGUUAAGAUGAAGUCAUCCUGGAUGAGGGUGGGCCCCUAAUCCAGUAUGAUUGGUCUCCUUUAAGAAGAGGAGAAAAGACACAGAGAUGGACAUGCACAGGGCCAUUCAGCUCUGCACAGGAGGCAGAGCCUGGAGUGAUGUAUCGGCAGGCGAAGCACGGCAAGGAUUCCUGGGAACAGCAGAAGCUGGAAGAGGCAAGGAAGGAUUCCUCUCUAGAGCCACUGGGGAGAACGUGGUCCUGCUAACACCCUGAUUACAGACUUCUAGCCUCAGAACUGUGAGGCAAAUUUCUGUUAUUUUAAGAUACUUCAUUUGUGAUACUCUUAGGGCAGCCCUGCAGGACAAAUACACUUUCCAUCAGGCCAUAUGAUCACUCCCGGUCCUCACAUUUCAAGAUGACUGCUGAUUGUCUCCCUGUCUUUGCAAAGGAUGAUACCAAGGUCAGUAUGCAGAGGGCAUAAGGACCGUGAAACUCAUAAAGCUUCAAGGGCCCCUCAUUGAUGAGGCCCAUUCCAAAGGCAUAGGAGGGUCUCCAGCUUUGUGUUCACAUGAGUAUAAGUUUUUGUAAAGAUUUUAAAAUAGUAUGUUAACCACAAUCCGUUAAGGCACUGUCUUUUUCCUCUCCCCUUGGGUCAGGUGACUUUAACAUGGUUGUGAACUGUUUGGGAUCCUGCAAAGGGGAUGUAAACUUGGAGAUAACUGAGUUUGGCUUAGUGGGAUAUAUUUAUGUGGUUUUCAGGCGCCUGCACGUGGAGUCAAGUAAGUGUUAGCUCUCCCGCUGUAGAAGGCUUUCCAAAAUUCUCUUCCCACUCA